GAUGAACGCUGGCGGCGUGCCUAAUACAUGCAAGUUGAGCGAACAGACGAGGAGCUUGCUCCUCUGACGUUAGCGGCGGACGGGUGAGUAACACGUGGAUAACCUACCUAUAAGACUGGGAUAACUUCGGGAAACCGGAGCUAAUACCGGAUAAUAUAUUGAACCGCAUGGUUCAAUAGUGAAAGACGGUUUUGCUGUCACUUAUAGAUGGAUCCGCGCCGCAGUAGCUAGUUGGUAAGGUAACGGCUUACCAAGGCGACGAUGCGUAGCCGACCUGAGAGGGUGAUCAGCCACACUGGAACUGAGACACGGUCCAGACUCCUACGGGAGGCAGCAGUAGGGAAUCUUCCGCAAUGGGCGAAAGCCUGACGGAGCCACGCCGCGUGAGUGAUGAAGGUCUUCGGAUCGUAAAACUCUGUUAUUAGGGAAGAACAAAUGUGUAAGUAACUAUGCACGUCUUGACGGUACCUAAUCAGAAAGCCACGGCUAACUACGUG
Molecule: ribosomal RNA, 497 nt
Filed under: uncultured bacterium
Lineage: Bacteria
Description: partial 16S ribosomal RNA
Rfam family: Bacterial small subunit ribosomal RNA
Source: RNAcentral